CCCACGCCUUUGCUAAUUACAAUCUGCCAAAAAUGGUGUAUUUCUUCUUCAGUCCUUCAGCUAAAACCCUCGACGAAUUCUCUCAAUGGAGGAGGAACCAUUAUAAUUCCUUUGUAUUCUUCCUUAGNNNNNNNNNNNGCGGAAGCGAGAAGAACAGAGGAAGUGGAGCAGUUAGGAUGCCAUCAAGAGCAAGAGAUGGUGAGAGAGAGUAUUGUGAGAUGAGAGGACACGAGAGCUUCUGCGCUGAGUUAGAU
This 254-nucleotide unclassified non-coding RNA is filed under the name Hevea brasiliensis (rubber tree). The record is from RNAcentral. Lineage: Eukaryota; Viridiplantae; Streptophyta; Magnoliopsida; Malpighiales; Euphorbiaceae.